Molecule: ribosomal RNA, 109 nt
Filed under: Hyunsoonleella flava
Lineage: Bacteria; Pseudomonadati; Bacteroidota; Flavobacteriia; Flavobacteriales; Flavobacteriaceae
Source: RNAcentral
UAAGGUGGUUAUAGCGACGGGGCUCACCUCUUACCAUUCCGAACAGAGAAGUUAAGCCCGUUAGCGCCGAUGGUACUGCACUUCGUGGAAGAGUAGGUCGCCGCCUUUU